RNAcentral lists this ribosomal RNA (253 nucleotides) under uncultured bacterium. Its description in RNAcentral is "partial 16S ribosomal RNA". It matches the Rfam family "Bacterial small subunit ribosomal RNA", at positions 524 to 776 of the family's 1533-position model. The record is from RNAcentral.
GACGGGGGGGGCAAGUGUUCUUCGGAAUGACUGGGCGUAAAGGGCACGUAGGCGGUUUGUCGCGUCUGCCGUGAAAGUCCGGGGCUCAACUCCGGAUCUGCGGUGGGUACGGGCAGACUAGAGUGAUGUAGGGGAGACUGGAAUUCCUGGUGUAGCGGUGAAAUGCGCAGAUAUCAGGAGGAACACCGAUGGCGAAGGCAGGUCUCUGGGCAUUAACUGACGCUGAGGAGCGAAAGCAUGGGGAGCGAACAGG